Molecule: ribosomal RNA, 468 nt
Filed under: uncultured bacterium
Lineage: Bacteria
Description: partial 16S ribosomal RNA
Rfam family: Bacterial small subunit ribosomal RNA
Source: RNAcentral
GAUGAACGCUGGCGGCGUGCUUAACACAUGCAAGUCGAACGGAAAGGCCCUGCUUUUGUGGGUUGCUCGAGUGGCGAACGGGUGAGUAACACGUGAGUAUCCUGCCCUUGUCUUUCGGAUAACUUCAGGAAACUGGGGCUAAUAUAGGAUAGGAUAUCCUGCACCAUGGUGGGCAUUGGAAAGUUUCGGCUGUUGGGGAUGGACUCGCGGCUUACCAGCUUGCUGGUGGGGUAGUGGCUUACCAAGGCUUUCACGGGUAGCCGGCCUGGGAGCGUGACCGGGGACAAUGGGACUGCGAGAGGGACCAGACGCCAACGGGCGGCAGCAGUGGGGAGUCUUGCACAGUGGGCGGGAGCGUGAGGCGACGGCGUCGCGUGCGUGAUGACGGCCUUCGGGUUGUGAACAGCUUUCGCCUGUGACGAAGCGGGAGUGACGGUAAUGAGUAAAGAAGCACCGGCUAACUACGUG